Molecule: long non-coding RNA, 854 nt
Organism: Ictalurus punctatus (channel catfish)
Lineage: Eukaryota; Metazoa; Chordata; Actinopteri; Siluriformes; Ictaluridae
Source: Ensembl
AUUGCAUCGAUGCAUCUUUUGUAAACAUGCCUACUCGCAUCUCACAGCGGUGACGCACACGUUCCCAGAAGCAAGAUUUUCCAGUUUGCGCACUGCUGAUGAGUAAUCCUGAUCGAGCUGGAAGUAGAUUUUUGAAGAAUUAUUACAGGGCUGUUAGAUUAUUUUUGUUUGGAUAGAUUGCUCUAACUCAUUAGACUCCAAAGCUAGCAGGAAAGCACAUAAUACGUCCCGAAGAAUGCCGAUACAAACAUACGAUCAUCUACAUGGGUGACAUGAACGUUAUCAAAUGCUAGAUAUAUUAAUGUUAGCUAGCACUAUUUGCAAAUUGUACAGUUACUAAGUAUUAUUCGCAGAAAGUUUACGAUUGCUAAGCACUACUCGUAGAGUUUACAGUAGCUAGAUUUAUAGAUGCUCAGCCCUAUUUGUAAAGUUUUACACUCACUAAGCUCUUUGUAAAGUUUGCUGGUGCAGAAUGUAUUAGGUGAUACGCAUUAUUCAUAAAGUUUCCAGUCAUUAUAAGCAUUAUUUGUCAAAUUUACUCACUAAGUUUUGUACUCAGUAAGUCUUAUUCUAAAAUUGUUAAAUUGUUGUUAAACGUUAUUCGUAAAGUUUACGGUCGCUAAAUUUUGUAGUCAGUAUUAUUCACACAGUUUACAGUUGUUAAACACCGUAAAGUUUACGGUCGCAAAAUUUUGUAUUCAGUAAGUAUUAUUCACACAGUUUACGGUCAGUAAAUUUUGUAGUCGGUAGGUAUUAUUCACACAGUUUACUGUUGUUAAACACCGUAAAGUUUACGGUCAGUAAAUUUUGUAUUCAGUAAGUAUUAUUCACACAGUUUACUGUUGUUAAACACC